GAUGAAGAACGUAGCGAAAUGCGAUAAGUAAUGUGAAUUGCAGAAUUCAGUGAAUCAUCGAAUCUUUGAACGCACAUUGCGCCCGCCAGUAUUCUGGCGGGCAUGCCUGUCUGAGCGUCAUUUCAACCCUCAUGCCCCUAGGGCGUGGUGUUGGGGAUCGGGCUGUACUCCAGCCCGGCCCCGAAAUCUAGUGGCGGUCUCGCUGCAGCCUCCAUUGCGUAGUAGCUAACACCUCGCAACUGGAACGCGGCGCGGCCAAGCCGUUAAACCCCCAACUUCUGAAUGUUGACCUCGGAUCAGGUAGGAAUACCCGCUGAACUUAAGCAUAUCAAUAAGCGGAGGA
Molecule: unclassified non-coding RNA, 343 nt
Filed under: soil metagenome
Description: partial contains 5.8S ribosomal RNA, internal transcribed spacer 2, and large subunit ribosomal RNA
Rfam family: 5.8S ribosomal RNA (bases 1-120)
Source: RNAcentral